AAUAUCCGUUCGAUCUUACAGAUCGGAUUAUCCUUUUUAAGCCAGCUUGAUUUGAAGAUUAUUUCCACUAUGUUACGGCUUGAAUCUUCCGGACCCAACUCUGACACAGCAUGUUUAACUGCUUGAUGAUGUUCUAAGCUCUCAAUUUUUGGAAAAACUUCUCCACAAUCUGGACAUGCACAAAUUGUUGACCUUGGUAAAGGGUACCUGCUAGGAUCUACUAUCAUGUGACACUCAUAACAUCCAGAUAGCUUACGAAAUUGCAUUCCUCUUGAUGAAGUAGUGUAUGUGGAGCUACCAUUACCGUUUGAUCUAGCAAGAGAUCUCGAACUUGAAGAUGAAGGAUCAUGAUGUGAAGUUUUAUUCUUGCUUAGAAGACGAGUUUCUUGGCCUAAACUGCUACUUUCUGGGGAAUUAUCAGCUCUAUGUACCACUCUUGUGUUGCCAUGUACCACAUCCCUGAAACUGCAUAUGGAGCUACAAGAACUCAACUUAGAGUAAGCUCCAGCAGGAGCAGCAGCAGCAGAAGAAGGAGGAG
RNAcentral lists this unclassified non-coding RNA (538 nucleotides) under Hevea brasiliensis (rubber tree). Lineage: Eukaryota; Viridiplantae; Streptophyta; Magnoliopsida; Malpighiales; Euphorbiaceae. The record is from RNAcentral.